UGAGUGCGAGCUGCUACGGCAGCGAAGUUGGUGACGUCAAGCUUCCAAGAAAAGCCCUAUACCCGUUAAGGCAUGAUUACCUGUACCCGAAACCGACACAGGUGGGGUGGUAGAGAAUACCGAGGGGCGCGAGGUAACUCUCUCUAAGGAACUCGGCAAAAUGACCCCGUAACUUCGGGAGAAGGGGUGCCAGCGCGAGCUGGUCGCAGUGAAUAAGCCCAGGCGACUGUUUACCAAAAACACAGGUCUCCGCUAAGUCGCAAGACGAUGUAUGGGGGCUGACGCCUGCCCAGUGCCGGAAGGUUAAAGAAGUUGGUCAGCGCAAGCGAAGCUAACGACUGAAGCCCCGGUGAACGGCGGCCGUAACGAUAACGGUCCUAAGGUAGCGAAAUUCCUUGUCGGGUAAGUUCCGACCCGCACGAAAGGCGUAACGAUCUGGGCGCUGUCUCGGAGAGAGGCUCGGCGAAAUAGAAUUGUCUGUGAAGAUGCGGACUACGUGCACCCGGACAGAAAGACCCUAUGAAGCUUUACUGUAACUUGGUAUUGUGCUCGGGCUCGCAAUGCGCAGGAUAGGUGGGAGGCUUUGAUCCAUUGCUUGUGGGUGAUGGUGAGCCACUGGUGAGAUACCACUCUUUGCGAGCUAGGGUUCUAACGGUUACCCGUUAUCCGGGAACCGGACAGUAUCUGGUGGGCAGUUUGACUGGGGCGGUCGCCUCCUAAAAGGUAACGGAGGCGCGCAAAGGUUCCCUCAGGCUGGUUGGAAAUCAGCCGACGAGUGCAAAAGCAGAAGGGAGCUUGACUGUGAGACCUACAAGUCGAACAGGUACGAAAGUAGGCUUUAGUGAUGCGACGGUUCUGAGUGGAAGGGCCGUCGCUCAACGGAUAAAAGUUACUCUAGGAUAACAGGCUGAUCUCCCCCAAGAGUUCACAUCGACGGGGAGGUUUGGCACCUCGAUGUCGGCUCAUCGCAACCUGGGGCUGAAGUCGGUCCCAAGGGUUGGGCUGUUCGCCCAUUAAAGCGGUACGCGAGCUGGGUUCAGAACGUCGCGAGACAGUUCGGUCCAUAUCCGGUGCAUGCGCAGGAAUAUUGAGAGGAUUUCUCCCUAGUACGGGAGGACCGGGAGGAACGCACCUCUGGUGUACCAGUUAUCGUGCCAACGGUAAACGCUGGGUAGCCAUGUGCGGAGUGGAUAACCGCUGAAAGCAUCUAAGUGGGAAGCCCACCUCAAGAUGAGUAUUCCCAUGGCUUAAGCCAGUAAGGUCACGGGCAGAACACCCGUUGAUAGGCUCUAUGUGGAAGCGCAGUAAUGCGUGAAGCAGAGGAGUACUAAUAGACCGAGGGCUUGAA
This 1348-nucleotide ribosomal RNA is filed under the name metagenome. Its description in RNAcentral is "bacterial LSU rRNA". It matches the Rfam family "Bacterial large subunit ribosomal RNA", at positions 1564 to 2925 of the family's 2925-position model. The record is from RNAcentral.